Molecule: ribosomal RNA, 433 nt
Filed under: Escherichia coli
Lineage: Bacteria; Pseudomonadati; Pseudomonadota; Gammaproteobacteria; Enterobacterales; Enterobacteriaceae
Description: partial 23S ribosomal RNA
Rfam family: Bacterial large subunit ribosomal RNA
Source: RNAcentral
GGUUAAGCGACUAAGCGUACACGGUGGAUGCCCUGGCAGUCAGAGGCGAUGAAGGACGUGCUAAUCUGCGAUAAGCGUCGGUAAGGUGAUAUGAACCGUUAUAACCGGCGAUUUCCGAAUGGGGAAACCCAGUGUGAUUCGUCACACUAUCAUUAACUGAAUCCAUAGGUUAAUGAGGCGAACCGGGGGAACUGAAACAUCUAAGUACCCCGAGGAAAAGAAAUCAACCGAGAUUCCCCCAGUAGCGGCGAGCGAACGGGGAGGAGCCCAGAGCCUGAAUCAGUGUGUGUGUUAGUGGAAGCGUCUGGAAAGGCGCGCGAUACAGGGUGACAGCCCCGUACACAAAAAUGCACAUGCUGUGAGCUCGAUGAGUAGGGCGGGACACGUGGUAUCCUGUCUGAAUAUGGGGGGACCAUCCUCCAAGGCUAAAUAC